UGAGGAAUAUUGGACAAUGGGCGAAAGCCUGAUCCAGCCAUGCCGCGUGAAUGAUGAAGGCCUUAGGGUUGUAAAGUUCUUUUAGUAGUGAAGAUGAUGACGGUAACUACAGAAAAAGCUCCGGCUAACUUCGUGCCAGCAGCCGCGGUAAUACGAAGGGAGCGAGCGUUGUUCGGAUUUACUGGGCGUAAAGCGUGCGUAGGUGGUUUUUCAAGUCAGAAGUGAAAGCCCUGGGCUUAACCCAGGAAUU
This 250-nucleotide ribosomal RNA is filed under the name uncultured bacterium. RNAcentral's name for it is "partial 16S ribosomal RNA". It matches the Rfam family "Bacterial small subunit ribosomal RNA", at positions 355 to 622 of the family's 1533-position model. The record is from RNAcentral.